GGAUCUUGGCGGCUGGACCAAUUAACUGGUCCAACCGUUCGAAAAACGGCCACUUGCUCGGCCCACUACCCGCAGCAAUCUUCGCUUUCUCCAAUUUAUACUUCUUCUUCACCGUAUCGAUUCGGUUCUUGCACUGAAUAUCAGUCUUCGCGGCCUUCGUAUAGUCUUCUCUGCUACUCACAAUAUCAGCAACUUCCUUCCAGUGUUUCUGCUUCAGGUUCCCUCUGCUCAGCUCCAAAUACCUCUCCCCCCACGCGUCUAUUAGCACCGCCGUCGCUCCCUCGCUCCAGCAAUCCUCCCUUCCGCCGCCGUUGGUCUUUGGUUGCUGGAUCGGGAGAGUUAGCGAUAAAUUGUUGUUGUUCUGCUGUUGAGACGGCUGCUGCUGAAGAUGAGAAGACGGAGGAGCGGCGGCGACCGUUACCGUAAUUCUUCCGUUGGGUGGAGACGGCGACGGUGAUCCGGUGGCCGCCGAUGUGUGCGACUGGAUCUCCUCAUCAUCGUCCAUAGUGAAGUAGUUACAAAAAUCAACGGCUUAGAUCUGAUGACUCCGAUAGCAGGUAAGAAGGAAUAAACAAACAGGGAAUAAAGAGAAAGGGAGAGUGUGCGUAUAUAUUAGAAACGUUGACGGGAAAUAUUGGGGACUGACGGGGAAGGAGAAGGUGGGGCAUGGAAGAUAGAGGGGAACGGGACACGUGGAGAGAACCGAAGUGGGAGAAAGGGUGAGGUGGAGGAAUAUGAUUGGGAGUGCGUAGGGAUUUCCGUCACCGGCGUGAUGGCGAGACUUGCCGGCUUGGUAGUUGAAGAGUGUUAACUUUAUCCGAGAAUUUGAAUUGACGGAAAACUCCAUGCUGUUUAAUGGGAAUUAACGCGAUUGCCUUUGGCAGCUACCCGCCAGUUUCCGGUGAUGGUCAUUGCCUAAAC
Molecule: unclassified non-coding RNA, 921 nt
Filed under: Hevea brasiliensis (rubber tree)
Lineage: Eukaryota; Viridiplantae; Streptophyta; Magnoliopsida; Malpighiales; Euphorbiaceae
Source: RNAcentral